This 909-nucleotide ribosomal RNA is filed under the name uncultured bacterium. RNAcentral's name for it is "bacterial SSU rRNA". It matches the Rfam family "Bacterial small subunit ribosomal RNA", at positions 49 to 967 of the family's 1533-position model. The record is from RNAcentral.
UCAGACAUGCAAGUCGAACGAUUAAACUUUCCUUCGGGGAAGAUAUAAAGUGGCGCACGGGUGAGUAACACGUAAGUAAUCUACCUUCGAGUGGGGAAUAACGUCGGGAAACCGACGCUAAUACCGCAUAAUGCAGCGGCACCUUAUGGUGACAGUUGUUAAAGGAGUAAUUCGCUUGAAGAGGAGCUUGCGGCAGAUUAGCUAGUUGGUAAGGUAAUGGCUUACCAAGGCUACGAUCUGUAGCCGGUCUAAGAGGACGGUCGGUCACACUGACACUGAAUAACGGGUCAGACUCCUACGGGAGGCAGCAGUCGGGAAUUUUGGGCAAUGGGCGAAAGCCUGACCCAGCAACGCCGCGUGAAGGAUGAAGUAUUUCGGUAUGUAAACUUCGAAAGAAUGGGAAGAAUCAAUGACGGUACCAUUUAUAAGGUCCGGCUAACUACGUGCCAGCAGCCGCGGUAAUACGUAGGGACCAAGCGUUGUUCGGAUUUACUGGGCGUAAAGGGCGCGUAGGCGGCAAUUCAAGUCAUCUGUGAAAUCUCCGGGCUUAACCCGGAACGGUCAGGUGAUACUGUUUUGCUAGAGUGCGGAAGGGGCAAUCGGAAUUCUCGGUGUAGCGGUGAAAUGCGUAGAUAUCGAGAGGAACACCAGAGGUGAAGACGGGUUGCUGGGCCGACACUGACGCUGACAGCGCGAAAGCCAGGGGAGCAAACGGGAUUAGAUACCCCGGUAGUCCUGGCCCUAAACGAUGAAUACUUGGUGUCUGGAGUUAUUAGUGCUCCGGGUGCCGUCGCUAACGUUUUUAGUAUUCCGCCUGGGGAGUACGCUCGCAAGAGUGAAACUCAAAGGAAUUGACGGGGACCCGCACAAGCGGUGGAGCAUGUGGUUUAAUUCGACGCAACGCGAAGA